AUUGAACGCUGGCGGCAGGCCUAACACAUGCCAGUCGAGCGGAUGAAGGGAGCUUGCUCCUGGAUUCAGCGGCGGACGGGUGAGUAAUGCCUAGGAAUCUGCCUGGUAGUGGGGGAUAACGUCCGGAAACGGGCGCUAAUACCGCAUGCGUCCUGAGGGAGAAAGUGGGGGAUCUUCGGACCUCACGCUAUCAGAUGAGCCUAGGUCGGAUUAGCUAGUUGGUGGGGUAAAGGCCUACCAAGGCGACGAUCCGUAACUGGUCUGAGAGGAUGAUCAGUCACACUGGAACUGAGACACGGUCCAGACUCCUACGGGAGGCAGCAGUGGGGAAUAUUGGACAAUGGGCGGAAGCCUGAUCCAGCCAUGCCGCGUGUGUGAAGAAGGUCUUCGGAUUGUAAAGCACUUUAAGUUGGGAGGAAGGGCAGUAAGUUAAUACCUUGCUGUUUUGACGUUACCAACAGAAUAAGCACCGGCUAACUUCGUG
Molecule: ribosomal RNA, 484 nt
Filed under: uncultured bacterium
Lineage: Bacteria
Description: partial 16S ribosomal RNA
Rfam family: Bacterial small subunit ribosomal RNA
Source: RNAcentral